This is a non-coding RNA of Oryza sativa Japonica Group (Japanese rice), 4328 nucleotides long. The record is from RefSeq and is a predicted model, not a curated record. Lineage: Eukaryota; Viridiplantae; Streptophyta; Magnoliopsida; Poales; Poaceae.
CUGUGCAUCUCCACAAAUAUUUCCCGGUGAUUCUUCCCAGCGUCCUGACUUCCGAGCCAGUGAUGAGAGUGAGACGGUGGAGGUGCUUCACCGGGCAGCGGCGGAGAGGCAUUGGCAUGGGCCGCGGCGAGGGAAUACCAGAACAAAUUCGGCCCACCAGUCCGCGACCGGAACUGUGAGAUUCGUGGGCCGUGAAAGUGCUCGUGAUGGGCUAUUGGGCCUAGGUCGAUUGAUCUGUGGACGAAGACGAACGUGCUUCGGUUACUUCGCCGGCGGAGUGGUGGUUGGCGGCGGUGGGGGGCGGUGAGCCGGCGACGGUCGGCACCGCACGUCGAAGCGCCCGGCGUCCGCGGUCUGCCGCUCCCGGUGGAGCUCGGCGAGGUGGCGGAGGCGUUGCAGCCUAGGAGAGGAAGCGCUCGGUUGAGGCGGUGGACGGCGGAGUAGCGGCGGCCGUGGGGGCAGGUGCCGGCGCCACCGCCACCGCAGCCGGCUUAGGCGGAAGAGACGGCGGGCCUAACCUGCUACUGUCCCGUCCCCUUACGCGGUCACAAGCCAUUGACGCCAAGCUGGUUCCCCUUGGCCCUUGCCACUUCCACGCCGGCAGCAACAUCCCUGCUACUUGAGGCCAGAAAUGUACACCUCAGAUGUUAGUGUUAUGGCAUGGAGCAUAACUUGGAAAGUUAAGUGUUCAUAUAACUACAUUUUUUUAUAGGAACUCUCAUAUAAUAUCAUGAGCAUUGCCACUAUCUGAAAACGAGGCGACAGUGUGAAAUUUUGCUUACCAGGAGGCUCAGCAAGGCGGAGGUACAGGUUCUCACCAAGGCUGGCCUUCUUCUCUGAGUCGACAAGCUCCCCUGUCCAAACCAAGCAUCUUGACGGGUCAGCCAUGGUGCCGCCACUGCUCAAGUUGGCGUAAGCAUAUGCCUUGCAAGAGCAGUUGCUGCUGCACUCGGCCGCGCACUGGUCGAAGCUCCUGUUCCGGAUCUGCAAGAACUUGUCGGGGACCUUCAUGUCAGGCAAUGACACGAAGCGGUGACCGCCCUCUCCGCAUCUCAGCUCUUCCUUUCUCCGGCAUCCUGAUUGCGAGAUGCUGGGAUCUACAGGCUCGAACCCAUCGAGGCACCGGCACGCCGGGACGGCCCCCGUGAAGUCGCAGUAGCCAAACGGGCCGCACGAGCCAUAGACCUCGCAGCUGCCGGCGGCGGGGCGCUGGAAGAUCAACAUCCAUGACGACGAGCUGUUGUCCCAGCUCAGGAACAUCAUCGUGCCCGUGCUGUCAAGUGUGAGGCGUGUGUAGAUGGAGCUGUCGGAGACAGUGUAUGAGUAGUAGAGCUUGUUCCCUGAGUCGAUGAGUGUUUGAUACAUGAAUAAGCUGCUGUUACUCGGAUACUGGGCGCCGGACACCGUCACGCUGGUUCUGACGCCGUUACGGCAGUAUGGCUUGGUCCCGUUCCAGGUCAUGCCCUGGAGGUCCGAGCUGGGGUCGAGGCUGAAGGAGAAAUCUCCAGUGGAUGGGUCAUCAUGGCUCCUCCACGCAGUGAGGCGUCCGAUGAUCUCGGACUUGUAGCUCAUCAAGAACAUCAUGCCUGCGAGGAUGGUAUCAGUCGGGUGAUCGAAGCUUUGCCAUAUGUCGGUGCCGUUUGGCAACCGGAGAACGAAGUUCCCCGUGUCGAGCAGCACGGCGGAGGCUCCGGUGACGCUGAUCUUGGUUGUCCAAAGAAUGUGGCCUUGGGAGUCCGACAGCACCAUGCCUGAGCUGUUGGUGAUGGCAAGGGUCGCUGACGAAGGGGUGGUGAUUGGGUUGUCGCGGUUGGCAACCCACACAACGGUGCGCUGGGGGAUGUUGUGGAACCAGACUCCAACAUAGAGGCUAUUGCUGAAGUUGGCCGGGGGGAAGAAGCCGAGGGCAAAGAUGCCGCCCUUGGAGAUGAGCAUCUCGCUGGGAAAGAUUGGCUUUCCCAGUGUCAGCUGGUCAUCGGUUUUGCAUAGAGGAAUCGAGAGCAGCAGGAGGAACAUGAGAAAAUAGACCAUAUUGCCUGUUAGACUUUCUGCUUCGUUUGCUUGUCAUGGGUCAAGUUAUAUCUUUCAUUCAUAAUGCAGAUAUGGACUGGUGUAGUUGGAGUUCAAUUCCCUUGCUGUCACCUCAUCUGAAGAUCAGGAGAAAUGUGAGAUGGCUAAGUCCUGAUUCAGACUCAUGGACAGAGACAGUAAAGGACCCUGUCUGAAUUCUGAUGACCAGGUCACCUGGUCAUGAUACUCCAAGUCGUGUGACAAUGCUGCACGAAAACGAAAGAAUGCUGCUGCCAUGGACUUUGGAGUGAUAGGCUAGUGCAGGCAAAAGCGAAACCUCACGUGCGUUCCAUGGCUCCACGUGGUGUCACAGGCCCUUGAUGCUGCCACUCUCCAUUUGAAGAAGUACAAUAGGGGAAGAAAUGGUGAGCAUACCAGGAGAGUCGGCUAACCGGAGGUAUAGGUUGUCACCAAGGCUUGCCCUCGCCAUGUCAGCAAGAUCCCCAGUCCAGAGCAAGCACCUUGACUGAUCGGACAUGGUGUCGGCUUUGGUCAAGUUGCCAUAAGCAUAAUCGUAGGCCAUGCAUGAGCAGUUGUGGCUGCACUUGGCCAUGCACUCCUCGAAGCUUCUGUUCUGGACUUGCAAGAACUUGUCAGGGAGCUUCAUUCCAGACAUGGUCACGAAAUGGUUCCUACCUCCGCAUCCCAACUGUUGCUUUCUUCGACAUCCUCUCGAAGAGUUGAAAUCACUUGGCUCGAAUCCAUCAAGGCACUGGCAUCUGGGGAUGGCCAAUGUGAAGUCGCAGUAGCCGAAUGGGCCACAUGAGGCGUAGAGAUUGCAGUCACCAGCGGCCGCUGGCUGUUGAGAGAUGACUGUCCAGGACGAUGAGCUCCCGUUCCAACUCAGGAACCUCAUGUUGCCCAUGUAGUCAAGCUUGAUUCGUGUGUAUGGGGAGCCAUCAGAGGUUGUGUACAUAAUGUACAACUCAUCCCUAGUGUUCACAAGUGAUUUGUACAUCAAAGUGGCAAUGUUGCUCCCGUAUGCUUCACCGGACACUAACACUCUAUUAAGUGAAAGUGCAAUGAAACGGUAAUAUGGCUUGGUCCCGUGCCAGAUGAAGGCCUGAAGGUUUGAUCUGGGGUCGCUGUGGUAGGAGAAGUCCCCGGUGGAUGGGUCAUUCGGUCCCUUCCAAGCGACAAGUCGCAUGGCGACUUGUGCCUUGUAUCUCAGGAAAAACUUCUUGUUGGGGAGAAGGGUAUCAGUUGGGUGAUCAAAGCUUUGCCAUGCGGUUGUAUUGUCCGGCAGCCGAAGAACCAAGUUUCCUGAGUCUAGCAGCACUGCAUAAGCUCGGUCACCUCUGGUGUUGAUGUUGGCCAUCGUCGUUCAAAAGGUGUGGCCUUCUAAAUCUGACAAUACAAAGUUAGAACUAUUGCUGAUGGCGAGCAUCGCAGAUGAAGGGGCAGUGAUCGGCUUGUCACGGUUGGCAAUCCAAACGUAUGUGCGCUCUGGGAUGUUGUUGUACCAUAUGCCGAGGAAUAAGCUCUGGUUGGAAGUUGCUGGGGAGAAGAAGCCGAGUGCGAAAACCCCGUUCUGGGAGACGAGCACGUCGCCAGGGUAGAGUUUCUUUGCUUGUGUCAGCUGAUCAUCGCACUUGCAGAAUGAGAAGAUGAAAAGAGGGAAGCAAGCCAUACCAUUCAUUUGGUCUUGUUCUUAGCUUUGCCUAGUUGCCUGCAAAGCGUAGAGAAAUAGCACACACACAUAUGGGUGUUUAAUUAUCUGAUGCAUACAUGAUUCUCCUGAGUCUUGACUCUUGACUCUUGAGGAGCACGCGGUUGGACCAAAGGAAGCAGCGUAAUAACGAAUGGCCGAGACUAUUCUGUCCGUCGAGAUAAAGUUUUGCUACGAAUUCAAACUGAACUGUGGGGAGACUACGGUGAAGUGGCCUGACGAGAGCAUAGGCGUAGCUGGUAUUAGUACUCAGUGUUGUGAUGCUAACUUGUGCAGUUUGUGGCUGGCUGGCUGGCUCGGUGGCACCGGGACAACCUCGCAACUAGAAAUAUCGACGCUUGAACGCUUGUGCACAACAGAAAACUUACUACAACUAUUUCUGUAGACGACAACAUGAAGGUUGGAGGAUCAACGAUUUAUGCUCAAGAACAAUUGAUGGAGACUACUGAAGGAUCAAGGAAGUUGUUUGCGUUACGCAAGGAGACGACAGGGAUUACCCCAAGAGACUUUCCUUCUUUUUUUUUUUUGUAAACCAUUGAAAAUGAACCAUACACCCACAAAGCAAUCGAAUUCCUAGGUUCUUGCACAA